CUCUGCCCAGAGCCCGUGGUCGCCCCUCGGCCCAGAGACCCGGGGACCUGCCCAGAGAGGAGCCGACCAGGGGGAGACCCCCUUCCCGCCCCCCAUCUCGGGCGCCGCCCUCCGGCCCCAGAGCCUGGACCAGGACCUCCGGGGACACCGAGGCGGGGGCCCCCCCAGCAUCUCGGUGCCGCUGACCUGCAGACCAGAAGGCCUGGACUCAGCUGGUCCCAGCCUGCGACCUGCUCCCCACCCAGCGUAGCACUUCCUCCCUGAACACGUAGCACUGUCAGCCUUUAGAGCUGGGUCACUGGUGAGACUGUCCUGGCAGUAUACUGGAAUUUAUUCUAAUGAAUAUAAAUUUUUUUGAAUCCAGUAAAAAAAAAUUUUUUUCAAGUUGAAAAACUUGAAACACUAUACCCACCAAUCAACAAAUCCUCACUCUGCUUUCCUCCCAUCUCCCAGCAACCACACUUCUCUUUCUCUCCUUCUUUUCUUUUUUUUUGAACCCCACGGCAUAUACAGGUUCCCAGGCUAACUCGGAACUGUAGCUGCUGGUCUACACGGCAGCCACAGGGAUGCAGGAUCCGAGCCAUGUCUGCAACCUACACCACAGCUCUAGCCAUUGCCGGAUCCUUCACCCACUGAGCGAGGGCAGGGAUCACCCUUCAAAACCCUCCUCUCUGAGGUCCUCCCAGUAACACACACAACUCCAUCUGGCCACUGGCUCGGGACAAACACAUCCGCCUCAUCUUGGCUCCUCUUUUCCCACACGUACCACACCCGCUGGAAAUCUCAGUGGCCUUGACCUUCGCUGUAGAUCCCAAAGAGAUGCUCCCCGGCUCCACGACCUCCCUGGCCCGCGGCACCAGCCCCUCCCGCCUGGGGAGCCCAGCAGGGCCUGGUCACAGCUCUGUUGUUGCUGCUGGAUCCCCGCUGGCUGAUUCUGAGCAGAACCCCAGCCACUGGGAUCCUGCUAAGGCUUCCAGAAGUUUGCACUGGCUGCCAGUGGUCUUCCACGGGGGCAGCAACGUCCUCCCAGCUUCUCCCCAGUCCCUCGGCCUCUGCACCCCGACAUGUCACAGGCUCCUUUCCUCCUGUGACUUUCCCUCCAACGUGGGUCAACAGCUGACGUGCCCUCAUUGUAUUUAUAAUUUAUCCAAACCGUCUUGUGCCCGUAAGGACAGCACCUCAAGGACCAGAAGCCCUUCUCGUUCCCUGAAUUGGAGAACCACAGCCAUAAGACACAACGUGACUCGUCCCGCUUUCCACGCGCCACUUCCAUGGUGCUAAGUGCAUUCACCACGUGAAGCCACCGUCACCACCGCCUGUGUCCAGAACGUGUGCAGCAUCCCAGCAGGAAGUCUCCACUGUGAGACAGAGACUGCUUGGCACCCCCACCCCCCAGCUGCAAGCACGCCGUCUACUUUCUCCUCCCAUGGGUUUGCCCUGUGGGUAGCUCCUAGGAGCCGAAUCCUACAAUCCUUGUCCCGUGGGGUCUGGCUUCCUUCAUGGAGCGGAUUGUUGUCUCGGGUCCUUCAGGCUGGAGCCCGUGUCAGAACUGCAUGUGUUCCUUUGUACGGCUGAGGGUAUUGGCUUGUGUGUGUCUCCCGGGCUUGGCUCCCCCACUCUUCUGCUGAUGGGCACUAGGGUUGGUUCUGCCGCUGCAGUGAAGUUGGCUGCUAUGAACACGUGGGGUGCAAAUAUCGGUUUGAGCCCAUGCGGUCAAUCCCUAGGAGAGGGGCGCAGGGUCUUGUGGUAAUUCUGUUGAAUUUGGGAGGCUCUUGAAAGCAUUUUGCAUGAGGCUGCACCAUCUUCUCUUCCCACAGGCAAUGCACAAGGGUUCUCAUUUGCCCACAUCUUCGCCAUCACUUGUUAGUUUCCAUUUUUGAUUUUUUUUUCUAAUGAGCCAACACCCAUGAAUUUGCCAUUAUGAACUCAUUCCCUUUUGUUUCCCUUUACUUUUUUUUUUUUUUGUCUUUUUGCCAUUUCUUGGGCCACUCUCGCGGCAUAUGGAGGUUCCCAGGCUAGGGGUCUAAUUGGAGCUGUAGCCACCAGCCUACACCAGAGCCACAGCAACUCGGGAUCUGAGCCCCGUCUGCGACCUACACCACAGCUCAGGGCAACGCCAGAUCUUUAACCCACUGAGCAAGGCCAGGGAUCGAACCCGCAACCUCAUGGUGCCUAGUCGGAUUCGUUAACCACUACGCCACCACGGGAACUCCCCAUUUUUGAUUUUUUAAAAACAUAUAACAGCUGUCCUAAUGGGUCCGAAGUGGUACUUUAUCAGUUUUUUUUUUCUUUUUUUAAUGACUGCACCCAGGGCAUAUGGAAGCUCCCGUACCAGGGACUGAAUCUGCCCUGCAGUGGCAACAGCAUAUCCUUUUAUCUACUGCUCCAGCCAGGGAUCGAACUGGAGCCUCCACAGCUGCUGCAGCUGGAUCCUUAACUUGCUGCACCAUAGCAAGAACUCAUUAGUUUUUUGUUUUUUUUUUUUUUUUUUUUCUUCCUAGGGCCACAUCCACAGCAUAUGGAGGUUCCCAGGCUAGGGGCUGAACUGAAGCUACAGCGGCCAGCCUACUGCACAGCCACAGCAAUGCAGGAUCCGAGCAGCGUCUGCGACCUAUACUACAGCUCACAGCAACACUGGAUCCUUAACCCACCGAGCGAGGCCAGGGAUAGAAACCACAAGCUCAUGGUUCCUAGUCGGAUUCGUUUCCACUGUGCCACGAUGGGAACUCCCUCAUUAAAGUUUUAAUUUGCAUUU
RNAcentral lists this long non-coding RNA (2755 nucleotides) under Sus scrofa (pig). RNAcentral's name for it is "lncRNA (ENSSSCG00055010271.1)". The record is from RNAcentral. Lineage: Eukaryota; Metazoa; Chordata; Mammalia; Artiodactyla; Suidae.